GGACGCAGGCAGGAGGCACAGAACCCAGCCAGCCCCAGACACCCGGACACACAGAUCCUCACCGGGCAGAUGGCAGACGCUCGAGAGACCCCUGGGGGCCGGGCGGACCCACCCAGGCAACACCCCCCAGCAGGCACCAGUGGCCGAGGGAGGCUGCGGGAGGCUGCGGGCGAGGGUGGCGGCGGCGGCCGCGGCUUGGAGGAGCUGGAGCGGGAGGGACUCACACACUCGCUGUGUUCUCGCACACACACACUCACUCGGGAUGCGAUUAACAUUCAGUCCCCGUCUGCCACUGCCGGGAGACCCACAGCCCCCCCUCCUGGCCUCCCUGGGGACCCCUUCUCCUGCCAGGCUUGGGGAGGGGGCCGCCCCCCACCCCUAGCUACCAGCCUCUGCCUUCCUCCUGGGACAAGGGAGUGAGGGGCUGAAAAUAAAAAGGGAGGAAGAAGUCAGGCUGGGGACAGGCAGGCAGGGACUCAGAACCCGGUAUGGAGACACCAGCUUCAGAGCUAGACUCCAGGGCUGGGGGUUGCUGCCCUCUGCCCCCGCCCUGCCUUGAGGCUCUGGAAACAGGAGGCCUUUCCCUGACUUCAGUGUUCGCCAUACUAAGACCCAAGCUGUGGCUUUUAUUGCCCCAGAAGGCCAGGCCUGAAAACCAGGUCUCGACCCUGGUCCCAGGAGUCCCGCCCCCCAGCCCCUCCUCCCUCAGACCCAGGAGUCCCCUUCUCUACUGGGACCCAGGAAUUUGGGGACCGCCUCCAAGUCAGAGUCUCUUUUAAGGACUCAGUCAUCCCGACUCUCCCCCCUACAAGCCACCCUCAGGGACCCAAGACUCGUGGAUGUCACCCUUGGGCACCCCGUCCUUCCAGCCCUCUGAAGAAACCAACAUGCCUGCACCCCUUCUUUUAUUGAGGGACCCUGGCCUCCAUCACCUAGACACAGAUUGCCUGGGCGAAC
RNAcentral lists this long non-coding RNA (957 nucleotides) under Pan troglodytes (chimpanzee). RNAcentral describes it as "long non-coding RNA NONPTRT008564". Lineage: Eukaryota; Metazoa; Chordata; Mammalia; Primates; Hominidae. The record is from RNAcentral.